GACGAACGCUGGCGGCGUGCUUAACACAUGCAAGUCGAACGAUGAAGCCUAGCUUGCUAGGUGGAUUAGUGGCGAACGGGUGAGUAAUACGUGAGUAACCUACCUUUAACUCUGGGAUAAGCCUGGGAAACUGGGUCUAAUACCGGAUACGACCAAUCUCCGCAUGGGGUGUUGGUGGAAAGCGUUAUGUAGUGGUUAUAGAUGGGCUCACGGCCUAUCAGCUUGUUGGUGAGGUAACGGCUCACCAAGGCGACGACGGGUAGCCGGCCUGAGAGGGUGACCGGCCACACUGGGACUGAGACACGGCCCAGACUCCUACGGGAGGCAGCAGUGGGGAAUAUUGCACAAUGGGCGCAAGCCUGAUGCAGCGACGCCGCGUGAGGGAUGACGGCCUUCGGGUUGUAAACCUCUGUUAGCAGGGAAGAAGAGAAAUUGACGGUACCUGCAGAGAAAGCGCCGGCUAACUACGUGCCAGCAGCCGCGGUAAUACGUAGGGCGCGAGCGUUGUCCGGAAUUAUUGGGCGUAAAGAGCUUGUAGGCGGUUUGUCGCGUCUGCUGUGAAAGGCCGGGGCUUAACCCCGUGUAUUGCAGUGGGUACGGGCAGACUAGAGUGCAGUAGGGGAGACUGGGAACUCCUGGUGUAGCGGUGGAAUGCGCAGAUAUCAGGAAGAACACCGAUGGGCGAAGGCAGGUCUCUGGGCUGUAACUGACGCUGAGAAGCGAAAGCAUGGGGAGCGAACAGG
This 743-nucleotide ribosomal RNA is filed under the name Rothia mucilaginosa. RNAcentral describes it as "bacterial SSU rRNA". It matches the Rfam family "Bacterial small subunit ribosomal RNA", at positions 28 to 776 of the family's 1533-position model. Lineage: Bacteria; Bacillati; Actinomycetota; Actinomycetes; Micrococcales; Micrococcaceae. The record is from RNAcentral.